Molecule: ribosomal RNA, 253 nt
Filed under: uncultured bacterium
Lineage: Bacteria
Description: partial 16S ribosomal RNA
Rfam family: Bacterial small subunit ribosomal RNA
Source: RNAcentral
UACGAAGGUGUCAAACGUUGUCCGGAAUUACUGGGCGUAAAGGGCGCGUAGGCGGCCCGCUAAGUCGAACGUGAAAUCCCCGAGCUCAACUCGGGAACUGCGUCCGAUACUGGGUGACUUGAGUUCGGGAGAGGAAUGUGGAAUUCCAGAUGUAGCGGUGAAAUGCGUAGAUAUCUGGAGGAACACCGGUGGCGAAGGCGGCAUUCUGGACCGAAACUGACGCUGAGGCGCGAAAGCCAGGGGAGCAAACGGG